Molecule: ribosomal RNA, 253 nt
Filed under: uncultured bacterium
Lineage: Bacteria
Description: partial 16S ribosomal RNA
Rfam family: Bacterial small subunit ribosomal RNA
Source: RNAcentral
GACAGAGGUGCCGAGCGUUAGGCGGAAUCACUGGGCUUAAAGCGUGUGUAGGCGGGUCCGUAAGUACCUUGUGAAAUCCCACGGCUCAACCGUGGAACUGCUUGGUAUACUGCGGGUCUUGAGCCACUUAGGGGCAAGCGGAACAAACGGUGGAGCGGUGAAAUGCGUAGAUUUCGUUUGGAACGCCAAUGGUGAAAACAGCUUGCUGGGAGUGUGCUGACGCUGAGACACGAAAGCCAGGGGAGCAAACGGG